AGGUCGUGAUGUGGGCAAUUCCUUAGCAAGCUCUUGUACCUCUCCCAAGCUUCAUAAUGACUCUACAGCUUGUUUUUCAAAGUUGGCUAUGACUUUUUUGAGCUU
This is a small nucleolar RNA of Lactuca sativa (garden lettuce), 105 nucleotides long. NCBI's taxonomy places the organism in Eukaryota, Viridiplantae, Streptophyta, Magnoliopsida, Asterales, Asteraceae. The record is from RefSeq and is a predicted model, not a curated record.